CAGUGUCUACUGACAGAGAUGCAUUACUUCAGAGAGAAAACUGCAAGCAAUUUUCUCUUCAAAUUUCAAGCCUGCUAUGGAAAUAAAAGCUCGAAGACAUUAUUAGAAAUGAAAGUGGCCAGAGGAAA
Myotis brandtii (Brandt's bat) is the source of this 128-nucleotide long non-coding RNA. RefSeq lists it as uncharacterized. The record is from RefSeq and is a predicted model, not a curated record. The transcript has 2 exons. Lineage: Eukaryota; Metazoa; Chordata; Mammalia; Chiroptera; Vespertilionidae.